ACCGCUGAGCCAUCUCUCCAGCCUGUGGCAACUUUUUAAAUGAAAAAUAACACUCUUGGGCUGGAGAGAUGGCUCAGUGGU
Non-coding RNA from Rattus norvegicus (Norway rat), 81 nucleotides. The record is from Rfam. Lineage: Eukaryota; Metazoa; Chordata; Mammalia; Rodentia; Muridae.